Molecule: transfer RNA, 73 nt
Filed under: Firmicutes bacterium CAG:884
Lineage: Bacteria; Bacillati; Bacillota
Rfam family: tRNA
About the family: Transfer RNA (tRNA) molecules are approximately 80 nucleotides in length. Their secondary structure includes four short double-helical elements and three loops (D, anti-codon, and T loops).
Source: Rfam by way of RNAcentral
GGACUGUUAGCUCAGUUGGUAGAGCAACUGACUCUUAAUCAGUGGGUCUGGGGUUCGAGCCCCCAACAGUCCA